CCUACGGGAGGCUGCAGUGGGGGAUAUUGCACAAUGGGGGAAACCCUGAUGCAGCGACGCCGCGUGAGUGAAGAAGUAAUUCGGUACGUAAAGCUCUAUCAUCAGGGAAGAAAAUGACGGUACCUGAGUAAGAAGCCCCGGCUAACUACGUGCCAGCAGCCGCGGUAAUACGUAGGGGGCAAGCGUUAUCCGGAUUUACUGGGUGUAAAGGGAGCGUAGACGGUGCUGCAAGUCUGGAGUGAAAUGCCGCGGCUGAACCCCGGGACUGCUUUGGAAACUGGGGAACUGGAGUGCAGGAGGGGCAGGCGGAAUUCCUGGUGUAGCGGUGAAAUGCGUAGAUAUUAGGAGGAACACCGGUGGCGAAGGCGGCUUGCUGGACCGUAACUGACGUUGAGGCUCGAAAGCGUGGGGAGCGAACAGGAUUAGAUACCCGAGUAGUC
This 440-nucleotide ribosomal RNA is filed under the name uncultured bacterium. RNAcentral describes it as "partial 16S ribosomal RNA". It matches the Rfam family "Bacterial small subunit ribosomal RNA", at positions 338 to 795 of the family's 1533-position model. The record is from RNAcentral.